RNAcentral lists this ribosomal RNA (425 nucleotides) under uncultured bacterium. RNAcentral describes it as "bacterial SSU rRNA". It matches the Rfam family "Bacterial small subunit ribosomal RNA", at positions 355 to 775 of the family's 1533-position model. The record is from RNAcentral.
UCGAGAAUCUUCCGCAAUGGGCGCAAGCCUGACGGAGCGACGCCGCGUGUGGGAUGAAGGCCUUCGGGUUGUAAACCACUGUCAGUGGGGAGCAAAUGAAUAGGGGUUCUCCCCUAUUUUUGAGCGAUCCGCAGAGGAAGCACAGGCUAAUUCCGUGCCAGCAGCCGCGGUAAUACGGAAUGUGCAAACGUUAUUCGGAAUCACUGGGCUUAAAGAGUCCGUAGGCGGCAUGUUAGGUGAGGUGUGAAAUCCCCCGGCUCAACCGAGGAAUUGCGCUUCAAACCGGCGUGCUAGAGGAAGAUAGAGGUGGGCGGAACUGAUGGUGGAGCGGUGAAAUGCGUUGAUAUCAUCAGGAACACCGGAGGCGAAGGCGGCCCACUGGGUCUUUUCUGACGCUGAGGGACGAAAGCUAGGGGAGCGAACGG